Molecule: long non-coding RNA, 211 nt
Filed under: Elaeis guineensis (African oil palm)
Lineage: Eukaryota; Viridiplantae; Streptophyta; Magnoliopsida; Arecales; Arecaceae
Description: long non-coding RNA (EGUI_LNC029718)
Source: RNAcentral
UCCGGAUUCGAUCCGAUCCAAUUGAGAAUCUGGUGUGCUAAGAGCAAGGUAUAAAACAGAAGGGGAAGAGAAGACGAGGAGAUUAUUUCUUUCCUGGAGUCUUGACUUGGGGCAGUCAACGGAGAUUCGAGAGAGACAGAGGGGGUUGCAGGGGACGCUGCGUUCCUCCCUGGCCUUUCCCUCCCCUUAGCUCCAGAGUCAUCGCAUCGCC